Molecule: long non-coding RNA, 1482 nt
Filed under: Manihot esculenta (cassava)
Lineage: Eukaryota; Viridiplantae; Streptophyta; Magnoliopsida; Malpighiales; Euphorbiaceae
Description: long non-coding RNA (MESC_LNC006302)
Source: RNAcentral
GAUUCUAAUAUUGUCCUUCCCUAGAACGAACAUCCACCGCCCCCCUCUCUUUCCUUUUCAAAAGGCAUAAGUGAACAUGACCUUUAUAAUAAAGAAUGUAACAGCUUACUUCUGGAAAUAAACUGGGGCAGUCCACAAUAUGUCGAGCAAGAUUAAUUGCAGCAGGUGAAGUUGGUGCCUCCCUCAUGGUGAUAUUAUUGAAAUAGAAAGCAGCCAAAUUAUCAACAGCAGAUGCACACUGAUACAUUUUCAGAUAUUUUAGCUUCAAGAAAUGAGAAUUGAGACCAGAAGCACAAAACAAAUACAACACAUUCAAGAUUAAAACCAGGCUGCAGGAUAUUAUGCUCAAACAAGAUGUUUAUAAUAUCCCUAAUGCAAAAAAUAUAGAUGUAUCUAGUUAAGAAGAAUAAGAACCAGCCGUAGCAUUAGAAAAAUACCUGUGAUGAGAUAUUUGUAUCCAGGCCUUUAAGACCAGAUUCUAGAGAACCAACUAUAUGCAUGAAGGUGUUUGUGUCCAAAUUCAAUAAAAAAAUAAAAUGGCUGCUGAACAGAACCUCCAAGAAUGCAAAGUAUGCCCUUGUCAACUGGAAAAAGGAAGAAGAGAACUGUAACUUGCCAUUACAAGAUGAUAAACGAAAUAAUAAUGGCAACGUCCUACAAUUGUACAGUAACCUAAAGAAGGGAAAAAAGGUUCCAUAAGUGAAAAAAGGUUCCAGAAGUUUGCCUAAUAUAUACCCCACUCUCCUGUUCCUGAAAUCAAACACUUUGUUCCUUGAAGUUUAUAAAAAUAAAUAUCAAGUCCCCUAUUGGCUAAAAACAAAAACAUUUACGGUUUAUCAAAUGGCUGUAGAAGUUUUAGAUAAUUCAAAGACCAAACAGUUUGAUUUUGAAAAGAGGGGACAGAGGAGUAUAAAGCAAGGUUUUCAAACCAACCCUCCUUUGCACAUAAUACACCUAGUGGAUGUUGAAGAAGCACUUCAGACCCUAUUCCAUCAUGGUCACCAAACUGCAAAAUUAAGUAUUGAGGGAUGAGUCAAUGAUUGUUGGUUGAAAAAGAUUAAAUCUUGCUAAGCAAUAAACUUUAAGAAUCUCCACUAAUAGCUUUAUAUAGAAUAUACUUAUUUUGAAAUUAAAACGUUAUACAUGAUGCAAAUGGUUUAUUAGUUUCAAAACGAAUUACCUUAAACAAGUUGUCAGAAAAUUGGAUCACCACCAGCUAGCAGCCUUGAUCCUCCUGUUUUCAGAUCAAGGGCUCGAAUGGAGCUACUUUCACUAUCAGCAACAUAAAUCUCCUUCAAAUCUAUGAAUAAGCAAUGAAGUAAAAUUAUCAUUAUAUAUAGCAGUACAACAUUCCACAAUGAUUUGCAAAUUUCAAAGAAAGUUACACUGUUUGUCAAAAUAAUCCAAAAUGUUACCAGGAGAUAGUGAAAUUCCAGAAGGUUGUGCAAAUGACGUGCUAGUGGAGCUAUUUCAAAAUAAAAC